GAUGAAGAACGUAGCGAAAUGCGAUAAGUAAUGUGAAUUGCAGAAUUCAGUGAAUCAUCGAAUCUUUGAACGCACAUUGCGCCCGUCAGUAUUCUGGCGGGCAUUCCUGUUCGAGCGUCAUUACGCCCCUCAAGUCCCCUGUGGACUUGGUGUUGGGGAUCGGCGAGGCUGGUUUUCCAGCACAGCCGUCCCUUAAAUUAAUUGGCGGUCUCGCCGUGGCCCUCCUCUGCGCAGUAGUAAAACACUCGCAACAGGAGCCCGGCGCGGUCCACUGCCGUAAAACCCCCCAACUUUUUAUAGUUGACCUCGAAUCAGGUAGGACUACCCGCUGAACUUAAGCAUAUCAAUAAGCGGAGGA
This 358-nucleotide unclassified non-coding RNA is filed under the name soil metagenome. Its description in RNAcentral is "partial contains 5.8S ribosomal RNA, internal transcribed spacer 2, and large subunit ribosomal RNA". The stretch from base 1 to 120 matches the Rfam family "5.8S ribosomal RNA", at positions 35 to 154 of the family's 154-position model. The record is from RNAcentral.